GACUGCAGCACUUUACCUGGGUCUGUUUAACUCAUCUCAUAUCUCUGAUUUACACACUGCUCUUUUCAUUUCACACAAACACACUGCAAGCUGCUCUCUGACUAAAAGAACUUCUUCUGGCUGAUGCUGAGGUUUAAACGCACAGAGCAUCACCAUGGAAACCGUGUCAGUCGUGCUCUUCCUGCUAUCAGCUUUUACUCCUCCAGUCCAGAACCAACUCACUUCACUCCAUAUCAUUCCGGGUCUCAUGAAUCAGACUGAGGCUCGGAAAGCUUGCAGAGAAAAUUACACCGACCUCGUCACUGUGUACUCUGAUGAAGACAACACUAAACUGGCUGAACUGGUGAUAAAGGCUGGUAUGGUUUCUGCCUGGAUCGGACUCUAUCGCAGUCACUUCAGUGAGAAAUGGUCUAAUGGUGAUCCUGUAACAUUCAGAUAUCUGACAAUGGAUUGUGGGAUAUCAAGCUACUGUGCCAUUAUGAUGGCUGAUGGUUCAUGGGAAAGUAUUCAGUGCACAGUGACAAGA
Molecule: long non-coding RNA, 526 nt
Organism: Tachysurus fulvidraco (yellow catfish)
Lineage: Eukaryota; Metazoa; Chordata; Actinopteri; Siluriformes; Bagridae
Exons: 3
Source: RefSeq, a predicted model, not a curated record